RNAcentral lists this ribosomal RNA (261 nucleotides) under uncultured bacterium. Its description in RNAcentral is "partial 16S ribosomal RNA". It matches the Rfam family "Bacterial small subunit ribosomal RNA", at positions 92 to 353 of the family's 1533-position model. The record is from RNAcentral.
CGAGUGGCGGACGGGUGAGUAAUGUCUGGGAAACUGCCUGAUGGAGGGGGGAUAACUACUGGAAACGGUAGCUAAUACCGCAUAACGUCGCAAGACCAAAGAGGGGGACCCUCGGGCCUCUUGCCAUCGGAUGUGCCCAGAUGGGAUUAGCUUGUUGGUGGGGUAACGGCUCACCAAGGCGACGAUCCCUAGCUGGUCUGAGAGGAUGACCAGCCACACUGGAACUGAGACACGGUCCAAACUCCUACGGGAGGCAGCAUG